ACUUUAAGCGAGGAGGAGGCUACGAGAUUAAUACUCUGGAUAGUGGACGUUACUCGCAGAAUAAGCACCGGCUAACUCUGUGCCAGCAGCCGCGGUAAUACAGAGGGUGCAAGCGUUAAUCGGAUUUACUGGGCGUAAAGCGCGCGUAGGUGGCCAAUUAAGUCAAAUGUGAAAUCCCCGAGCUUAACUUGGGAAUUGCAUUCGAUACUGGUUGGCUAGAGUAUGGGAGAGGAUGGUAGAAUUCCAGGUGUAGCGGUGAAAUGCGUAGAGAUCUGGAGGAAUACCGAUGGCGAAGGCAGCCAUCUGGCCUAAUACUGACACUGAGGUGCGAAAGCAUGGGGAGCAAACAGGAUUAGAUACCCUGGUAGUCCAUGCCGUAAACGAUGUCUACUAGCCGUUGGGGCCUUUGAGGCUUUAGUGGCGC
RNAcentral lists this ribosomal RNA (424 nucleotides) under uncultured Acinetobacter sp. RNAcentral describes it as "bacterial SSU rRNA". It matches the Rfam family "Bacterial small subunit ribosomal RNA", at positions 432 to 849 of the family's 1533-position model. Lineage: Bacteria; Pseudomonadati; Pseudomonadota; Gammaproteobacteria; Moraxellales; Moraxellaceae. The record is from RNAcentral.